GAAAGUAAGCAAGGGCAGACGGUGGAUGCCUUGGCUCUCGGAGGCGAUGAAGGACGUGAUAAGCUGCGAUAAGCUUGGGGUAGGUGCAAAUAACCUUUGAUCCCAAGAUUUCCGAAUGGGGCAACCCGGCUGGUAGAAGGCCAGUCAUUCCGUAAGGAAGGCGAACGUGGGGAACUGAAACAUCUAAGUACCCAUAGGAGAAGAAAACAAAAGUGAUUCCGCAAGUAGUGGCGAGCGAACGCGGAACAGCCCAAACCGAUGAUGUUUAGGCAUUGUCGGGGUAGUAGGACCACGUUGUGGCAAGAGAUUAAGGAAGUAGAACGUUUUGGAACAAACGGCCGUAGACGGUGAAAGCCCAGUAUACGACUCUUUAACGAAGCCUAGUGGAAUCCUGAGUAGCGCGGAGCACGAGAAAUUCUGUGUGAAUCAGCGGGGCCCAUCCCGUAAGGCUAAAUACUCCCGAGAGACCGAUAGCGAACCAGUACUGUGAAGGAAAGGUGAAAAGCACCUCGAACAGAGGAGUGAAAUAGUCCCUGAAACCGUCUGCCUACAAGCGGUCGGAGCAACGUAAGUUGUGACGGCGUGCCUUUUGCAUAAUGAACCUACGAGUUACUUUCUCCGGCAAGGUUAAGGGCUUCAGGCCCGGAGCCGAAGCGAAAGCGAGUCUUAAUAGGGCGUGAUAGUCGGAGUGAGUAGACGCGAAACCAAGUGAUCUACCCUUGGUCAGGAUGAAGGUUGGGUAACACCAACUGGAGGUCCGAAUGGGUAUACGUUGAAAAGUGUUCCAAUGAACUGAGGGUAGGGGUGAAAGGCUAAUCAAACUUGGAGAUAGCUCGUACUCCCCGAAAUGCAUUUAGGUGCAGCCUUUAUUUAGUAUAGCAUGAGGUAGAGCGACUGAUUGGAUGCGAGGGCUUCACCGCCUAUCAAGUCCAGAUAAACUCCGAAUGCGUGCUAUAUAUUGAUAAGGAGUGAGGGCGCGGGUGCUAAGGUCCGCGUCCGAGAGGAGAAGAAUCCAGACCAUCAGCUAAGGUCCCCAAAUAACAGUUAAGUUGAACUAACGAAGUCGGACUGCAGAGACAGCUAGGAUGUUGGCUUGGAAGCAGCCAUUCAUUUAAAGAGUGCGUAACAGCUCACUAGUCGAGGAGUCCGGCGUGGAUAAUACUCGGGCAUAAACUGUUUACCGAAGCUAUGGAUGUAGAAAUACAUGGUAGGGGAGCAUUCCAACGGCGUCGAAGGUGAAGGAUGACCUUUGCUGGAGCUUUUGGAAACGCAAAUGUAGGUAUAAGUAACGAUAAAGGAGGUGAGAAACCUCCUCGCCGAAAGACUAAGGUUUCCUGAUCAACGUUAAUCGGAUCAGGGUAAGUCGGGACCUAAGGUUAAGCCGAACGGCGAUACCGAUGGAAGAAUGGUUUAAUAUUCCCAUACUACUUUAUGGAGCGAUGUGGAGACGGAGAAGUGAAAGUCCUGCCAUCUGACGGAAUAGGUGGUUGAAGAGUGUAGAUGUAGAUUCCUGUAGGCAAAUCCGCAGGGAGAGUCGACCUUGAUAGUAUGCCGCGUGCUUGCACAAGGCAAAAUGGACGUAAUCAGGCUCCCAAGAAAAUCCGCUAAGCAUAUUCAUAAAGUACCCGUACCGUAAACGGACACACGUAGUUGGGUUGAAAAUACUGAGGCGCUCGAGUGAUUCACGGUUAAGGAACUAGGCAAAUUGACCCUGUAACUUCGGGAUAAAGGGUCCCUACUGAGAGGUAGGGCGCAGAGAAUAGGUCCAGGCAACUGUUUAACAAAAACACAUGGCUGUGCGAAAUAGAAAUAUGAAGUAUACAGCCUGACACCUGCCCGGUGCUGGAAGGUUAAGAGGAGAGCUCAUCGCAAGAGAAGGCUUGAAUUGAAGCCCCAGUAAACGGCGGCCGUAACUAUAACGGUCCUAAGGUAGCGAAAUUCCUUGUCGGGUAAGUUCCGACCUGCACGAAUGGUGUAA
Molecule: ribosomal RNA, 1978 nt
Filed under: human gut metagenome
Description: bacterial LSU rRNA
Rfam family: Bacterial large subunit ribosomal RNA
Source: RNAcentral